This 253-nucleotide ribosomal RNA is filed under the name uncultured bacterium. RNAcentral's name for it is "partial 16S ribosomal RNA". It matches the Rfam family "Bacterial small subunit ribosomal RNA", at positions 524 to 776 of the family's 1533-position model. The record is from RNAcentral.
UACGAAGGGGGCUAGCGUUGUUCGGAUUUACUGGGCGUAAAGCGCGUGUAGGCGGGUCGUUAAGUUGGGGGUGAAAUCCCGAGGCUCAACCUCGGAACUGCCUUCAAAACUGGCGACCUGGAGCAAGAUAGAGGCGAGUGGAAUUGCGAGUGUAGAGGUGAAAUUCGUAGAUAUUCGCAGGAACACCAGUGGCGAAGGCGACUCGCUGGAUCUUUGCUGACGCUGAGACGCGAAAGCGUGGGGAGCAAACAGG